UCUCUCCAAUCCCCUUGAUCUUAUCUAUCUCACGCGUCUCUCUCUCUCUCUCUCUCUCUUCUCUCUCUCAUCUCUCGCGGCGGCCGGAGUGGCCCGGCGGAGGCGGUAGCGGUAGCGGUCACACCCCGCCGCCCCUUCGCUAGAUCUAGUGGGAGGAGAGGCGUCGACUGCCUCCGACGGCAGAAGGGGCAGCGCCCUUCCCUUCGCCAGAUACGGCGGGAGGAGAGGCAUCUGCAUUCUCUGAUGGAUGGAGGAGAUGCGGCAGGGGUGGCACCCUCCCCUUCGCCAGAUCCGGUGGGAGGGGAAAAAGCGGCCUUCCACGACGGCAAUGGUAGCACCCACACCUUCGCCAAAGCAGAGGCAGCGGCGGCUGUAGUGGAAGGGGAGAAGGAGGCUCGCCCCUCCCCCUAUCCUCCUUUCUAUCUGGCGACGGCGGCAGGGUUUGGACCGGGUUUUAAGACUUUGGGCCACCACGCUGGCUUGAUCUGAGCCUAGUGAACUCAGUUCGGGGAAGAGAAAUUAUCGAGGAAAACUAGUGUAUGGGAGAGAAGGAAGAUAGUGUCGUGGAGGCGGAGGCGGACAUGCUCAACGCCUCGGUCUCCACCCUCGCCACCGGUGGCUUCUACGCCUGCGGAGCGGCACGAUGCGGUGGCCGUGUGCACAUCUCCGGUUCUGGCGAGGCAUGGCGCAGCGGCCGUGCAUGCUCUUCUUCGGCUCCGGCGCGGCAGGACGGCGGCAUGCUCUUCUUCUGCUCGACCGCGGUGCCGGCAACGGGGUGCACGCACUGCUCCUUCAGCUCACGGCAGAAUGGGAGGAUUCCAAAAGCCUCACCAAGUUAGAGUAGGAAUUAUUAGCUAAUUGUAUUGUAAAUAAGUACCACUAAAGAGAAGGCACUGGAAAGGGAAAUUAUCACAAGUACCUCAUGAUCAGGUACAUGUACAUAUGGAACUUGGAACCUCUUUCCAUGUUUUUAGUGGCAAAAUUGACAGCUCUAUCUUACUUGCAUACACAUUUAGAAACAACACAGAUUCAUUCCACCAACACCACACCGAAGCUGAAGAGCACGCCGCCAUGCCAAUUCGGAGCCGGAGAAGGUCACGCCGCCGCCACGCCGUGCUGCUCCGGAGACUUGGCCGGGAGCCGCCGGUGGCGAGGGUGGAGAUCGAGGCGUUGAGCAAGUCCACCUCCACCCCCACCUCCACGACACUAUCUUCCUCCUUUCCCGUGCGCUAGUCUCCCUUGAUAACUCUCUGCGCUGAACUGAGUUCACCAGGCUCAAGCCAACAUGGUGGCCCAAAAGUAUUGAAACCCAGUCCAAACUGCAAAAGAAGGUAAUCAUACCUGGUGUUAACUGAAAAGGUAGAGUUAUACCUGGUAUGGUGAAACUUUGGCCAAUAAAUCAGGCCCAAAGUGAAAUUUACUCUUUUCUUUACAAAUCGUAUACAUCAAAGGUGUUGGUUCCUAAACCGGCAUCUUGGAGUCUUCUCAUCAGUGCCGUUUUCGUGGUGUCGGUUGGGAAAUCCAGCACCUUUGUGUAGUUCCCAACCAGUACCAAUCUACAUUUCUGUAGUUGUGAAUUGGAGUUUAUAAAGUUUGUUUCUCGUCCAGCAUGGUUUCCUAGAGGAUUAGGACUUCUUGUAUGAGUUUGGUUCAUGGUUUUAGGCAACCUACCUCAGCUAUAAAGAGAAAUGGAGGCUAACUUUUAAUUCCGUUAAAAAUUUUGAUUUUUGGUUACUCCAACCAUUUGACCCCUCUAAUUGGCUUAGUUUUUGUUGUACGAUCCUGCAUUUACAUGGUAAAUCCUGCAAAAAGGAGCUGCAAGUAACCUGCCAUGUUGAAUGUCGUGUGGAAUACACAUGGGGAGAAUAAGGAGCCGUGCCGCCAUACCGAUGGGCCGCAAUGUCCUCUCCAGUUUUUUUUUUUUUUUUUUUUUUUUUGCGGGGAAUGUCCUCCCCAGUUAGGUCGUGGACACUCGGUUUAUUUCAUGCUGGUGCACCUGCUGAUCCUGCCUCAAGUGUAAGCUGUGGGGUGCCUCACUUCGCGUGUUGCUAGUGCGGGCGAUGGCUUCGUUUGUCCCGUUCACCAUGAAGCCGCAGGCUCGAUCGCCAGGUAACCAGAUCAGAGAUAUACUACUCAUUAGGACUCCUAGCUCAUUCUUUCAUUGUGCUAUCAGGAGGAGAGAUAUUUCUUUUCUCGGUGGAUUGGGCUCAAUCGGCGAUUAUAGAAUAUGACAAGCAACCCACCUGAACAACAACGCUUUUCAGACCAACUAGAAUAACUUUUAAGCUCUGUAAUUUACAGUGAUUUUGUUCCAAAACUUGUGUGCCAAACAGGUCCUCAGGGUUGUUUUCAUUCCAAUAUAUUAGUUAUUUGUUAAGUUGUAUAUAGCAGGUACUUCAGGAUAAAAAUUAUUGCUGAAGACUGGAUUAACCAACAUUGGAGGUAUCUGCAUCGAAGUA
Molecule: long non-coding RNA, 2459 nt
Organism: Oryza sativa Japonica Group (Japanese rice)
Lineage: Eukaryota; Viridiplantae; Streptophyta; Magnoliopsida; Poales; Poaceae
Source: RefSeq, a predicted model, not a curated record